Molecule: unclassified non-coding RNA, 400 nt
Filed under: uncultured Actinomycetes bacterium
Lineage: Bacteria; Bacillati; Actinomycetota; Actinomycetes
Description: uncultured actinobacterium contains 16S-23S intergenic spacer region
Rfam family: Bacterial small subunit ribosomal RNA
Source: RNAcentral
UCACUGCUUGCGCAGGCAGUCUUACUAGAUACCCGGGUAGUCCUGGCCGUAAACGGUGCGAACUAGGUGUGGGGGCUGUCAUGGCCUCCGUGCCGAAGCUAACGCAUUAAGUUCGCCGCCUGGGGAGUACGGCCGCAAGGCUAAAACUCAAAGGAAUUGACGGGGGCCUGCACAAGCGGCGGAGCAUGUGGAUUAAUUCGAUGCAACGCGAAGAACCUUACCUGGGUUUGACAUGCACAGGACGCCGGCAGAGAUGUCGGUUCCCUUGUGGCCUGUGUGCAGGUGGUGCAUGGCUGUCGUCAGCUCGUGUCGUGAGAUGUUGGGUUAAGUCCCGCAACGAGCGCAACCCCCGUGGCGUGUUGCCAGCAUUAAGUUGGGGACUCACGCCAGACUGCCGGUG